This 497-nucleotide ribosomal RNA is filed under the name uncultured bacterium. RNAcentral describes it as "partial 16S ribosomal RNA". It matches the Rfam family "Bacterial small subunit ribosomal RNA", at positions 28 to 507 of the family's 1533-position model. The record is from RNAcentral.
GAUGAACGCUGGCGGCGUGCCUAAUACAUGCAAGUCGAGCGAACGGACGAGAAGCUUGCUUCUCUGAUGUUAGCGGCGGACGGGUGAGUAACACGUGGAUAACCUACCUAUAAGACUGGGAUAACUUCGGGAAACCGGAGCUAAUACCGGAUAAUAUUAUGAACCGCAUGGUUCAAAAGUGAAAGACGGUCUUGCUGUCACUUAUAGAUGGAUCCGCGCUGCAUUAGCUAGUUGGUAAGGUAACGGCUUACCAAGGCAACGAUGCAUAGCCGACCUGAGAGGGUGAUCGGCCACACUGGAACUGAGACACGGUCCAGACUCCUACGGGAGGCAGCGGUAGGGAAUCUUCCGCAAUGGGCGAAAGCCUGACGGAGCAACGCCGCGUGAGUGAUGAAGGUCUUCGGAUCGUAAAACUCUGUUAUUAGGGAAGAACAUAUGUGUAAGUAACUGUGCACAUCUUGACGGUACCUAAUCAGAAAGCCACGGCUAACUACGUG